This 422-nucleotide long non-coding RNA is filed under the name Homo sapiens (human). RNAcentral describes it as "long non-coding RNA NONHSAT178030.1". The record is from RNAcentral. Lineage: Eukaryota; Metazoa; Chordata; Mammalia; Primates; Hominidae.
GAAAUGUUCCUAAACGUGACUAUUUGAGGCGAUGAAUCAAGCGUGUUCCCUCCGCCCCCAACCCACCCCCAGACCGAAAAUGUGACUCUGGAAACGGACUUGCAGAGCUGGCUUCGGUUUAUAUGCGGUUCUGACCCCUGUUGACUUUAGGACAAGCCUUCCUGUUUCCAGUACUGCAGCAUCGCCAGACAGCCUCGCCAUGCAAUCGGCUUUCCAGAUACGAUUUCACUCCUCACCAAAGACACUUCUUUAGGGCGAUUUUAGGAUUCUAUCAACGCUAGUAAAGGAACUACUUAAACACGUUGAUUUGUAUCGCCUUCCCUGACUAUGAAACAUUGAAGGGGAAUACUACUCAUCAAUAAAAAAAAUAUAAACUCCUGAUACACCUCAUGGAUGGAUGCAUAGAUGGAUGGAUGGAUCUG